AAACGGCGGUCGGCCGGGAAAUAAAAAUGUGACACCAAGUUUCGGUUCUUCUUCGUUGCGUCGUUGGACGUCCCCGCGUCGCAUCGAAACAAACAUUGAUACCGAGACACAAAAAGUGACGAGAGAAAAGACCGACAAACGGACACUAGGCUGCCAGGCGAAAAUCAAUAGGUAGUGAGAGUGUGUGAAGGUGAGAGGCACAGACAUUCCGUUUCUUCUG
This is a non-coding RNA of Caenorhabditis elegans, 220 nucleotides long. The record is from Ensembl. NCBI's taxonomy places the organism in Eukaryota, Metazoa, Nematoda, Chromadorea, Rhabditida, Rhabditidae.